RNAcentral lists this long non-coding RNA (316 nucleotides) under Erythranthe guttata (spotted monkey flower). RNAcentral's name for it is "long non-coding RNA (EGUT_LNC001850)". The record is from RNAcentral. Lineage: Eukaryota; Viridiplantae; Streptophyta; Magnoliopsida; Lamiales; Phrymaceae.
CUAUUACAGGACAUUGUUCAGAAAACAACUUCAACAAUCAAAUAAACACAACAAAAAGAAAAAUUAAUCUAGAAUAUCCUCGGCAUCAACGAACAGCUCUUCUUCAUCAUCGGUAUCUGCCUCAGCUGUUGCACCACCAACUGUUGGAACAGUUGGAGCAACAGUUGGAUCGUCAGAUCCAGCAGCAGCAGCAACUCCCCCUGAACGAGAUAUCUCCUGAUGUGCUGCUUCGUGGCCAACUCCCCCUGAAGUGUCUCCCCCUUUCUGAGCAAGGGCUGUAAAGUAGUCGAUUUUUUUUCUUCAGUUCAUCGGCUCU